GUUUAUAUAUUAAGCCAUGUGGUAAGGGUGUAAAAAAAGUCCAGUGCAUUAGGUAAUUUUCAAAGUAAUUUGUAUGUUGAAAAGUGCUGCAGAACUGCAAAUAUUUCUGCAACCUUUGAGAUGACAUUGUUAAAAAGGGUUUUUUUAAAAACAACAACAACUGUGGCAUCGUGAACACAAGUGAGUGAAAGUGAGGCAAAUAUAGAGAGGAUUUCUGCCUCUGCAGACCAAGGUUCAGUCACUAUUUCUCAGCCUAGCCUACUUCACAGCAUUGUGGUGAGAGGAAAUUGAGGAAAGGGAGAACCAUGUAUGGUGCCCUGAGCACAAAUGAGGCUGCAUUUUGUUACCGGAAAAAUCCAAGGGCUCCCUUGGACAAAAACAAAGACACCAACCAGGAUAACUUGGAGCAAAACAGCAGCCUGUAGGCUUGGCCUUUAUUGAACUGUUGCAACAGGGUGUUCCCAUCACUUGUGAGAGAGAGGAAAGACCCAGAAAAUGGUGUGCAAGACCUUAUAAAAACUUUUGAAAUUCCCACCCUGUAGAUCAAGCCCAC
Non-coding RNA from Podarcis lilfordi (Lilford's wall lizard), 553 nucleotides. NCBI's taxonomy places the organism in Eukaryota, Metazoa, Chordata, Lepidosauria, Squamata, Lacertidae. The record is from the annotation of a GenBank genome assembly.